CCUACGGGAGGCAGCAGUGGGGGAUAUUGCACAAUGGGGGGAACCCUGAUGCAGCGACGCCGCGUGGGUGAAGAAGCGCCUCGGCGCGUAAAGCCCUGUCAGCAGGGAAGAAAAUGACGGUACCUGAAGAAGAAGCCCCGGCUAACUACGUGCCAGCAGCCGCGGGAAUACGUAGGGGGCAAGCGUUAUCCGGAUUUACUGGGCGUAAAGGGGGCGCAGACGGGGAUGCAAGCCAGGAGUGAAAGCCCGGGGCCCAACCCCGGGACUGCUAUUGGAACUGCGUGGCUGGAGUGCAGGAGGGGUAGGCGGAAUUCCUGGUGUAGCGGUGAAAUGCGUAGAUAUCAGGAGGAACACCGGUGGCGAAGGCGGCCUGCUGGACUGCAACUGACGUUGAGGCCCGAAAGCGUGGGGAGCAAACAGGAUUAGAUACCCCGGUAGUC
Molecule: ribosomal RNA, 440 nt
Filed under: uncultured bacterium
Lineage: Bacteria
Description: partial 16S ribosomal RNA
Rfam family: Bacterial small subunit ribosomal RNA
Source: RNAcentral